RNAcentral lists this ribosomal RNA (440 nucleotides) under uncultured bacterium. Its description in RNAcentral is "bacterial SSU rRNA". It matches the Rfam family "Bacterial small subunit ribosomal RNA", at positions 43 to 527 of the family's 1533-position model. The record is from RNAcentral.
CAGGCCUAACACAUGCAAGUCGAACGAGAUCUUUCGGGGUCUAGUGGCGCACGGGUGCGUAACGCGUGGGAAUCUGCCCUUGGGUUCGGAAUAACAGCGAGAAAUUGCUGCUAAUACCGGAUAAUGACGUAAGUCCAAAGAUUUAUCGCCCAGGGAUGAGCCCGCGUAGGAUUAGCUAGUUGGUGGGGUAAAGGCCUACCAAGGCGACGAUCCUUAGCUGGUCUGAGAGGAUGAUCAGCCACACUGGGACUGAGACACGGCCCAGACUCCUACGGGAGGCAGCAGUGGGGAAUAUUGGACAAUGGGCGAAAGCCUGAUCCAGCAAUGCCGCGUGAGUGAUGAAGGCCUUAGGGUUGUAAAGCUCUUUUACCCGGGAUGAUAAUGACAGUAUCGGGAGAAUAAGCUCGGUCUAUCUUGGUGCCACCAGCCGCGGUCAUAAU